This 324-nucleotide ribosomal RNA is filed under the name uncultured Bacillota bacterium. RNAcentral's name for it is "bacterial SSU rRNA". It matches the Rfam family "Bacterial small subunit ribosomal RNA", at positions 28 to 351 of the family's 1533-position model. The record is from RNAcentral. Lineage: Bacteria; Bacillati; Bacillota.
GAUGAACGCUGGCGGCGUGCCUAACACAUGCAAGUCGAGCGGAAAUUGAUAGCUUGCUAUCAAUUUUAGCGGCGGACGGGUGAGUAACGCGUGGGUAACCUGCCCUAUACACAUGGAUAACAUACCGAAAGGUAUGCUAAUACAAGAUAAAACAUUGAUAAGGCAUCUUAUUAAUGUUAAAGAUUUAUCGGUAUAGGAUGGGCCCGCGUCCCAUUAGUUAGUUGGUGAGGUAACGGCUCACCAAGACUACGAUGGGUAGCCGACCUGAGAGGGUGAUCGGCCACACUGGAACUGAGACACGGUCCAGACUCCUACGGGUGGCUG